This 2755-nucleotide long non-coding RNA is filed under the name Ictidomys tridecemlineatus (thirteen-lined ground squirrel). RNAcentral describes it as "lncRNA (ENSSTOG00000034485.1)". Lineage: Eukaryota; Metazoa; Chordata; Mammalia; Rodentia; Sciuridae. The record is from RNAcentral.
ACCUAACUCCUCGUUUACAACUUCCUCCUCCUAGGUCCCAGUGGAUCUCCUGAGCUAAUAAGGAAGAUGCUCAGCUCUGUUGAAAACCAUUGCCUCUUCAAGCAAAGAUGGUUUCUUAAUCCAUUUUCUGCUUCUAUAACUGAAUACAACAGACUGGGCUGGGAAGAGCAUGGUACCAGCACCGCUCAGCCUAUGUCAAGAACCCAGGCUCUCCCAGGUUUGGCUCUGGAUUUGGUUGCCUGUGGUGUUGGUCCGUCUUCCCAGCUGGCUCCAGGUAUGGAAAGGUUGAAUCUUAUUGCAUUUUCCUGAGCCAGAUCUACUAAUAUGUCCUGUCCUUGUGACAUAGGGUGCAUGCCCAUCAAACAUUAGCUCUUGGGCCAGAAGUUUCCUAUUGCCCAUAUCAGAAGGAAUGUCUGUGUCAGAGAUCUUUGUACCGUCUGGAUGAGAUGCCUUUAGGAUUCUGUUUUUAUUCUGAAUUUAGUUAUUAGAUCACUUAAUAGAUCCCUUAAUUUAAGCUGUUGGUUGAUCCUGAAGAUGAAGCUCACAGGGGUAUGGCAUUAGUGUGUUCCACAUGUCAAUGGCAUGGACCAAACAUCCAUCUCAGUGGCAUCCACCAAACAUCCCUUGUCCUUUCAAUUCUGGACUUUCUGGAUUCUCUCACUUUGGUUUCCUUUCUAGCAGUGAUAAGUCUCUGUUAUGAUUGGAUUUUGCCCCCUGCAAAGAGUUUACAAGUUAAGGUCCUAACCCUCAGCACCUCGCAAUGUGAUUUGAAUUUAUAGAUAGGGUCUCUAUAGAGGUAAUUAGGUUAAAAAUGAAGCCUUAGCAUAAGCUUGAUUCCAACCUGACUGGUGUCCUAGGAGGAGAUUAGGACGAGAAGUCAGCAGAAGCUCACAGGCAGACAGAGACACCACAUGAGGACACAUGGAGAAAAUGGCCAUCUCUAAGGCAGGAAAGAAGUGGGAGGACUCCAGCCCCUCCAGCACCUUGAUCUUGGACUUCCACUUCCAGAACUGUGUGGAAAUAACAAGUCUGCUGUUUUAUAUCACCCAGUUGGUGAGAUGUUGUCAUAGCAAUGCUAGCAAAUUAAUAUAGCCGGUUGAGGUAGUCAACAAAAAUCCAGAGAAGAUACAAGUCAAAGCAUGCCAAAGUCGCCUGGCCACCAUUGUACCAUUGCAAGUACCGUGUAGCAGAUUGCCUCCAAUCAUCUGGUCACAAAGAGUGCAGCAUGAUACCAAAUAACCUUGGAUCAUACAUGCCCAGGUCAAGUACAUCUUAGACAUGAUAGUACUUAUUAGUUUCUCCCACGAAUAUGGAGAAUUGCUUUUGGUAGAAUGCAAGCUAUAUAUUUAUGAUGCAACUUGUACUUUAGGAAUAUCUCUUCAUUUCCUCUGUAUUGCUUUUUGAGUGUGUUAUGAUUUGGUUGUGGUGUGAGAUAAUGCAAGAAGGUUUGGAGGAGAAAUGACUGUGUUAUAGCCUUCACCUAAUCAGUGAACUAAUCCUUGAUAGGACUGAGUGGUAGCUGGAGGCAGGUGAGGCAUGGCAGUGGGGUAUAUAUUUUUGAUCUAGAGAGUGGAGCCCUUUCUCUGCUCUCUGAUCCUGAUGUGAGCUGCUUCCCUUCCGCCAUACUCUUCUGCCAUGAUGUUUAGCCUCACCUUGAGCCCUGAGGAAUGGAGUCUGCUGUCUAUGGAUUGAGAUCUCUGAAACCAUGAGCUCCCAAAUAAACUUUUUCUCUUUUAAGGUUGUUCUGGUCAGGUCUUUAAGUCACAGCAGACUUGUUUUUGUUUUUAGCUAGAGCUCAACCAGGUACAUCCCAGUUUGGAUGAAGUCACUUUGACCUGAUGUUGUAGGGACAGAUGAGGCAAGGUACCCAAGACAGCAGGAAACAGUUUUAUUUGGCUGUAGCCAGAUUCAGAGGGCACAGUUUUUUCUGUGAUCAAUCAAUCCCCUGAACCCCCAAGUUCGGGUAGUUUCAGAAUUUUAUACCCAGCACGUAAGGGGAGGGGCUCAGAAGUUCACAGUCUGCAGAAGUUCACAUAAAAGCAGCUUUUUCUUUUUCUGUUUUGGGGGCAAGUUAACCCUUCAAGGACAGCACCUGAGAAGGGGGGAGCUUCUUCUCCCCUUUCUCUCCUCCCCCUGCCAGCUGUUACCAUGGAGCCCAGUUGGUAAUUUCUCUUAUCUUAGAAAUGUAGGCAUCUCUGUGAAGCCCAGCUCAGGGCCAGAGGCCUUGUUUACACAUUUCUACAAACUACUUUCCUGGAUACGUGUUUGUGAAAAACGAGUAAGGGGGUGUCCAGCACCUGGAGUGCCGAUUUCUUCCCGGCCAGUGGCCAAGUAAGACAGGGUGAUACGAAAAUAGGAAGUUUGUCUACCUUGAACUCAUUUGCAGAGACUCUUUUUGCUGACAGUCCCUCAAAUCAGCCAUGGUGAAGAUUUCUGGAGAAUCCAGUUAAGACUUUCCCGUGGAGGAAGGGGUGCCACUACACUGAUAACUUCAUAAGCCUGUCUUCUGACACGAAUCGCAGGAACACACGCACCUUGCUUCUAUCCAGGACCAUGCUUCUGUCCAGAAUUGCACUCUGUGCCACCCUAGAUCUACCUGUUCCUUCAGUCUCACGGCACCUUGGUGCUGCUGCGGGCCAUUGCCAAGUGGGAAUGACGCAUCGAAACCCUUGCCAGCGUACCCCAUGCUAAAUGGACUUGCCUUGGAAAUCCGCUGUGACCUUGCAUGUGUGCUUGAGAAAGGUGACCCUGCUCA